Molecule: long non-coding RNA, 872 nt
Organism: Choloepus didactylus (southern two-toed sloth)
Lineage: Eukaryota; Metazoa; Chordata; Mammalia; Pilosa; Megalonychidae
Exons: 2
Source: RefSeq, a predicted model, not a curated record
ACGCACCCGAGCUUCACCUUUCACCCCAGCCGACCUGGACUCCGAAGCGGCCGCGGCCAUCUUAACUAUGGGCAAGAGGCUCUGCCAAAGUCGCUUGCGGAAGCGCAAGAGAAGACUUCUCCACGAAACAAGCCAGGUCAUCAAACCCACCAACUUUCAGACUUUUAUAGGCCUUUCCCUAAAAUGGGAUGAAGGCAGCGUGCCGCCAUCUUUUCUGAAACCGCCUUCAUUUUCCUCAGUCCCCGGCCACUGAGUGCGCCCAACAGGCCAUUUUUAUGACGUCCUAGAGCGGCCCCACCCGGAACUACUUCCGGUCGCCCACCUUCCGGGAGCCGGGAAGCCCAAGACUCUGUCCCGGGGUUCGCUCCCCGAGAUGUACCUGGGGAGGCCGGCCCUGACAGAAGAGGGAGGGAGGCCGAGGGCCGUGAGGCUCGCGGACGUGGCGGUGUACUUCUCCCCGGAAGAGUGGGGAUGUCUGCGGCGAAGAACCUACGGCCACUCGGGCGCGCCGGGGGACACCGCUUCUCGUGAUCCCCGCCAAACCAGAAUGACUGAAGUUCAUAACUGAGCCUUCCCGGGCCAGACAUCUGCAGUGGCUCCCAGGACCUCCUGCAGAAAGCCCAGAGCCUGUUGACUGGGAUGUGGAGAAAUUGGAACACACCUGCAUUGCUGCUGGGAAUGUGAAAUGGUUCAGCCACCGUGGAAAACAGUUUGGUGGUUUCUUGAAAAGUUGUACAUAGAAUUACCCCAAGAAAACAGGGACUUGAACAGAUUCUUGUCCACUAAUGUUAAUAGCAUUAUUCACAAUAGCCAAAAGGUGAAAACAACCCGUGUCUAUUGACAGAUAACAGAUAAAUAAAACGUAGUAUGUA